CAGUCGCCGCGGGAAAACAGAGGGUGCAAGCGUUAAUCGGAAUUACUGGGCGUAAAGGGCGCGUAGGCGGAUGUUUAAGUCAGAGGUGAAAGCCCAGGGCUCAACCUUGGAACUGCCUUUGAUACUGGACAUCUUGAGUGUGGGAGAGGUGAGUGGAACUCCGAGUGUAGAGGUGAAAUUCGUAGAUAUUCGGAAGAACACCAGUGGCGAAGGCGACUCACUGGCCCAUUACUGACGCUGAGGCGCGAAAGCGUGGGGAGCAAACAGGAUUAGAUACCCCGGUAGUCCCUGUCUCUUAUAC
RNAcentral lists this ribosomal RNA (301 nucleotides) under uncultured bacterium. Its description in RNAcentral is "partial 16S ribosomal RNA". It matches the Rfam family "Bacterial small subunit ribosomal RNA", at positions 509 to 807 of the family's 1533-position model. The record is from RNAcentral.